AUGCAACUGACGAGUCCCACAUUGGACGAAACGCACGUUCUGGAU
Molecule: non-coding RNA, 45 nt
Filed under: Schistosoma margrebowiei
Lineage: Eukaryota; Metazoa; Platyhelminthes; Trematoda; Strigeidida; Schistosomatidae
Source: RNAcentral